GACGAACGCUGGCGGCGUGCUUAACACAUGCAAGUCGAACGGUGAAGCGCCUUCCUUUUUGGUUGGUGUGGAUGAGUGGCGAACGGGUGAGUAACACUUGAGUAACCUGCCCCCUUCUUCUGGAUAACCGCAUGAAAGUGUGGCUAAUACGGGAUAUUCUGGGUCUGUCGCAUGAUGGGUCUGGUAAAGAUGUUGGUUCGGUGGUGGAUGGUCUCGCGGUCUAUCAGCUUGUUGGGGGGAUGAUGGCCUACCAAGGCGGUGACGGGUCGACGGCUUGGGGGGGUGGACGGUCACACAGGGUCAGAGGCACGGCCGAGACUGAUACGCGAGGCAGAAGGGGAGAAUAUGGAACAAUGGGCGCAAGUGUGCUGCGGCGACGCCGCGUGAGCGAUGGCGGCCUGCGGGUUGUGACCCUCUUUCGCCAGUGAAGCGGGCCUGCCUCGUUUGUGGGUGGGUUGACGGUAGCUGGAUAAGAAGCGCCGGCUAACUACGUG
Molecule: ribosomal RNA, 494 nt
Filed under: uncultured bacterium
Lineage: Bacteria
Description: partial 16S ribosomal RNA
Rfam family: Bacterial small subunit ribosomal RNA
Source: RNAcentral